UUGGGAUCCGUGCCGUAGCUAACGCAUUAAGUACCCCGCCUGGGGAGUACGGCCGCAAGGCUAAAACUCAAAGAAAUUGACGGGGGCCCGCACAAGCGGCGGAGCAUGUGGAUUAAUUCGAUGCAACGCGAAGAACCUUACCUGGGUUUGACAUGCACAGGACGUGCCUAGAGAUAGGUAUUCCCUUGUGGCCUGUGUGCAGGUGGUGCAUGGCUGUCGUCAGCUCGUGUCGUGAGAUGUUGGGUUAAGUCCCGCAACGAGCGCAACCCUUGUCUCAUGUUGCCAGCACGUAAUGGUGGGGACUCGUGAGAGACUGCCGGGGUCAACUCGGAGGAAGGUGGGGAUGACGUCGAGGAACACCAAC
This 364-nucleotide unclassified non-coding RNA is filed under the name uncultured Mycobacteriaceae bacterium. Its description in RNAcentral is "contains 16S-23S intergenic spacer region". It matches the Rfam family "Bacterial small subunit ribosomal RNA", at positions 834 to 1199 of the family's 1533-position model. Lineage: Bacteria; Bacillati; Actinomycetota; Actinomycetes; Mycobacteriales; Mycobacteriaceae. The record is from RNAcentral.